This 400-nucleotide ribosomal RNA is filed under the name phytoplankton environmental sample. Its description in RNAcentral is "partial small subunit ribosomal RNA". It matches the Rfam family "Eukaryotic small subunit ribosomal RNA", at positions 587 to 992 of the family's 1831-position model. The record is from RNAcentral.
AGCUCCAACAGCGUAUAUUAAAAUUGUUGCGGUUAAAACGCUCGUAGUCGAAUUCUUGCUAGGUGGCUCCGGUGCUUCCCAGUGAAGUGUACGCGGUAACCUCCUGUGCUAUUACUUGGGGAAGGUGCAUAUGCUUCAGUGCAUGUCACACUACCCAAGUCCUUACUUUGAGGAAAUGAGUGUGUUUCAAGCAGGCGCAAGCCUUGAAUAUGAUAGCAUGGAAUAACAGUAUGAGACCUCCUUCCAAAGUUGUUGGUUCUUUGGAAUUAGGGAAUGGAAAAAUGGAUAGUUGGGGGUAUUCGUAUUUAACUGUCAGAGGUGAAAUUCUUGGAUUUUUUAAAGACAAACAAUUGCGAAGGCAUUUACCCAGGAUGUUCUCAUUGAUCAAGAACGAAAGUAC